Molecule: long non-coding RNA, 208 nt
Filed under: Oreochromis niloticus (Nile tilapia)
Lineage: Eukaryota; Metazoa; Chordata; Actinopteri; Cichliformes; Cichlidae
Description: lncRNA (ENSONIG00000027564.1)
Source: RNAcentral
UUUGCUGAAAAUCAUGGUACUCCUAAUGCCAGUUCAGGAACAAAGGACAGAUCUGAGUGGAUUUCAAGAAGAGAGAGGGGUCACAUGAAUCUUGACAUUUAUAAACAUGCAACUGCAUUUCUUCUUCAAGCCAAGGAAACCCAUCGACUGACAUGGAGAGCUGUUAACCACAUCGUGAGUGGAGUCCAGCAAUAUCAGGCCGUAUUAU